GACGAACGCUGGCGGCGUGCUUAACACAUGCAAGUCGUACGGUAAGGCCCUUUCGGGGGUACACGAGUGGCGAACGGGUGAGUAACACGUGAGUAACCUGCCCACAACUUUGGGAUAACGCUAGGAAACUGGUGCUAAUACUGGAUAUGUGCUCCUGCUGCAUGGUGGGGGUUGGAAAGCUCCGGCGGUUGUGGAUGGACUCGCGGCCUAUCAGCUUGUUGGUGGGGUAGUGGCCUACCAAGGCGGCGACGGGUAGCCGGCCUGAGAGGGUGACCGGCCACAUUGGGACUGAGAUACGGCCCAGACUCCUACGGGAGGCAGCGGUGGGGAAUAUUGCACAAUGGGCGCAAGCCUGAUGCAGCAACGCCGCGUGCGGGAUAACGGCCUUCGGGUUGUAAACCGCUUUCAGCAGGGACGAAGCUUUUUGUGACGGUACCUGCAGAAGAAGCACCGGCUAACUACGUG
This 465-nucleotide ribosomal RNA is filed under the name uncultured bacterium. Its description in RNAcentral is "partial 16S ribosomal RNA". It matches the Rfam family "Bacterial small subunit ribosomal RNA", at positions 28 to 507 of the family's 1533-position model. The record is from RNAcentral.